CGCGCGCAGGCUUAUUCCAACAUCGACCCGAACGUGCCAUUUCACUCACUCAUUCGAAAAGGAGCAUCAUGGUCCCGCCACUUCCAGUCUUCCUCCGCUUCUAAGGUGCAAAACACGCGAGGUGCUCAAUGGAGUUAAAGGAGCAAGCCAUCCUCGAGAGGUGCGAGGUGUAAACCCGGGUGUUUCUUUUCAAAGUUUCAAAGGCAUCAUUUCUCCCAUGUACUGCCACUGCCAGUUAAAAAAAAAAAAACUUUUUAAUAAAAAAUAAAAAUCCCAACCACCGUCUUCUCCAUUACAGCUUCUCUCAGAAGCCCCUGCAAUUCCCCCUUUCUCUGUUUAUGUAUUUAUUCGUACAUACAUGUAUAUGUAUAUAUGGCUUGGUUACUGUACGGCCGGCAGUAUCCUGUUCUUUUGGAAUUUGAUAUAUAGAGGCUGAGACUAUUU
This 444-nucleotide unclassified non-coding RNA is filed under the name Hevea brasiliensis (rubber tree). Lineage: Eukaryota; Viridiplantae; Streptophyta; Magnoliopsida; Malpighiales; Euphorbiaceae. The record is from RNAcentral.